This is a long non-coding RNA of Esox lucius (northern pike), 2466 nucleotides long. The record is from Ensembl. NCBI's taxonomy places the organism in Eukaryota, Metazoa, Chordata, Actinopteri, Esociformes, Esocidae.
CCACAUCGUUAAGGUUAGGGCUAAGGUUUUACAACAAAAACAGUUAAGGUUAGGUAACACUCCCACAUCGUUAAGGUUAGGGCUAAGGUUUUACAACAAAAACAGUUAAGGUUAGGUAACACUCCCACAUCGUUAAGGUUAGGGCUAAGGUUUACAACAAAAACAGUUAAGGUUAGGUAACACUCCCACAUCGUUAAGGUUAGGGCUAAGGUUUUACAACAAAAACAGUUAGGGUUAGUUAACUCCCGAAUAGUUGUAGUUCAAGGUAAGUUUAGACAUAAUUUUUUUUCACUCUGGUGAUUCAAACUCACAAGCACUGACUUACAAACCACCUAAUGCAUUUUUGCACAAAUCAGGUCUACAUAAAACACUCAAAAGUGCACAAAUUCCAUGAAAUUCUUUUUACUCUGAUUUGUGUGAAUUAGACCCUGUUGGUAUAUCUGAGUCACAAGCAGACAUCCUUAUAAUAGUUAGUUGUGCAGUGAUGUUGUGGCUACUGCAAGUCUUAAAGCCAUUUUGGAAAACCAACACACUGGUGGUAUGUAUCUGCUGUGUUGGUGGAUAAUUAAAGGGAGUUAAUAAGGGCAACUCACUGCUGGUGUUUAUAGUGUGGAUUAGUUGAGAGAUGAUGACAGAUACUUUCAAACAAAUGGGGCAAGUCUCACUGGCCCUCUAACAGUUUUGCAAUAAACACAGUGGUAUAAUGAAUUAUGUCUGUUGUGCAUCAGAUCCAAUAACUCUUGGAACUUCUUAGAAAAGGGAAAUGUUAGUAUAGUAGUUUGUUCUUACAUCAUCCUCCUUUCAAGUGGUCGUCAUUUGACACGCAUAUGAGGAGAAGAAGGCGUCCCCUCUGAGUCUGUUCACUAGCUCCAGGCAGAGCACUGAAGCAAAACAGUUACAGUUAACUUCUUGCAAAACACAUUUUUGCUGGGAAAGUCAUUUUGGAUCCGAUGGGAAUCUGUGUUUGCUGGACUUGUUUUUGCAUUUUAAUAAAACGUUUCUCAGAACAUGGUGUGACUUACUGACAUUACAGUUUGGAUGCAGCGACGAAUGAAGGAGGAAAAAACUGUUAGAAAGAGAGUAAACAACUUAAGGCUUCCAUUGGUGAAGAGAAUUGAUGGAAGUAUUACCCAGGGUCCUCGUGGGGGCACUUGAGUGUGAAUCGCUAAUCAGGAAGGCCUUCUCUUUUCUAAUCCCUCUUUGAGUGGCCGGCCUGGAAUGAGUACAUCUGGGGAGACUCCCCACUGCUUCUGGCUCUGGAGGUUCUAUUCAGAGCCACAGCCCUCCUGUACCAUUCCCACAGUCCGCUUACACUGUGCAGCACAGCCACGCACACUCACGAGCACGUGCACACACACAACACACACACACACACACACACACACAGGCAUGUACAGACACACACACACACAUUUCCUGCUUCAACCAAAUUAGAUUAGACCCUUUCCUUUUCUCCCUAGCAAAGCACUGUCCUUUUCUCUGCCCAGAGACCUUCUCCUACCCUUUUGUCUCUGUUCCAAAAUAGAGAAACAAGUUCCCAAACAAACCCCCCCUAUGAAAGUUCUGGUAUAGAAACAGGCGAGCGAAAGGCAGCCAUCUUUGAAUGGCCUUAUUUGAUUUCAUAAUAUCAAUACCCCAUUUGUUCAACUACCCUAAUGAGGAUGUUUUGUGGCUUGGUUGGCAGAGCAGUGAGAACAAGGCCAGCUGCGCUGCAUGUCAACCUGUUAGUUCACAGGGAAGGGAGCCCCCUUCGUUCACUAUUUCUGAGUGUCUCUUCAUUCUAUUCCCUAAUAUUGUCUUACGUUUUCUUCUCUUUGCUCAUAAAUCAUUCAGUGAAUACAUUUCAACUCAUUCAUUAUAUCCUGUCCAUGUUAACUGCGCUGUUUGUGAUUGGUGGAUGUGUACCUUCAUACACCGCUGUCCUGUGAUGUGUUCUCUUCUUCAUUCAUCAGCUGGGGAAACUCACAAUAUCAAAAUCUAUGUUGGAGUUUCAGAGACCCUCUCAAUAAAGGAAAAGAUAUAUGAAGACUCUGUUCCUGUUGAGUGUGCAGCCAAAGCCAUCCCAAAAGCAGCAAAUUGAGAUCAAAGCUAAAUUAAAGCUGACUCGUUCAAAGACAGAUAAAAAUGUGUGAGCCUGCAGCCAUGUUUUCACUAUUGAUUUCCUUCUCUGCCUGCUCUCCCUGGAACAGGGUUGGCUCUGUGCAGGGCUGGGAGGCUGCCUGGUGCUGAGAGAGAGAGAGAGUAAAUGAUUAUUGAUAAAGUCUCAACAACGAUAAUGAUGAUGACUAGAUAGUUAUCAUGCUGAGAGUCAUUGAGAUGACUGUUCUAUUUUAUAUGUAUGCCAUUGCCAUAGUUUCCCUACAGCUUGCUGUGAUGGUGCAUCAGUGGCCAUGUUAUGUUUGAUAUGUGUGUAUGGUCAAUGCCAGCAUCCAGGUGUUCGUUGAUAUCCAGAAAAUUAUAAUUUGC